UACGGGGGGGGCAAGCGUUGUUCGGAAUUACUGGGCGUAAAGGGCUCGUAGGCGGCCAACUAAGUCAGACGUGAAAUCCCUCGGCUUAACCGGGGAACUGCGUCUGAUACUGGAUGGCUUGAGUGUGGGAGAGGGAUGCGGAAUUCCAGGUGUAGCGGUGAAAUGCGUAGAUAUCUGGAGGAACACCGGUGGCGAAGGCGGCAUCCUGGGCCACGACUGACGCUGAGUGAGCGAAAGCCAGGGGAGCAAACGGG
RNAcentral lists this ribosomal RNA (254 nucleotides) under uncultured bacterium. Its description in RNAcentral is "partial 16S ribosomal RNA". It matches the Rfam family "Bacterial small subunit ribosomal RNA", at positions 524 to 776 of the family's 1533-position model. The record is from RNAcentral.